AGAGUUUGAUCAUGGCUCAGAACGAACGCUGGCGGCGCGUCUUAAACAUGCAAGUCGAACGAUCUGUAGCAAUACAGGGAGUGGCGGACGGGUGAGGAACACGUAGGAAUCUACCUUGAAGAGCGGGACAACUUUGGGAAACCGGGGCUAAUACCGCAUAGUACAGAGAUGUUAAAGGGCUAGCAAUAGUCGCUUCGAGAUGAGCCUGCGGUCUAUCAGCUUGUUGGUGAGGUAAUGGCUCACCAAGGCUACGACGGAUAGCCGGUCUGAGAGGAUGAUCGGCCACACUGGCACUGAGACACGGGCCAGACUCCUACGGGAGGCAGCAGUUAAGAAUCUUGCGCAAUGGGGGAAACCCUGACGCAGCGACGCCGCGUGAAGGAUGAAGGCUUCGGGUUGUAAACUUCGGUAGACUGGGAAGAAGAAAUACGUUCGUUGAGGGCGUAUAGUGACGGUACCAGUCUGAAGCCCCGGCUAACUACGUG
This 485-nucleotide ribosomal RNA is filed under the name uncultured bacterium. Its description in RNAcentral is "bacterial SSU rRNA". It matches the Rfam family "Bacterial small subunit ribosomal RNA", at positions 8 to 507 of the family's 1533-position model. The record is from RNAcentral.